Molecule: non-coding RNA, 1098 nt
Organism: Zonotrichia albicollis (white-throated sparrow)
Lineage: Eukaryota; Metazoa; Chordata; Aves; Passeriformes; Passerellidae
Source: RefSeq, a predicted model, not a curated record
CGGGGGACGGCGUGCCGGAGGAGCCCAGGGCAGAGCCGGCUCCCUCCGGCGCCGGGCGCCCGCCCGCCCGGGACUCCUCGUACGCCUUCCGCCACUGAAUUCAUGGUGGCUUCGCUGGGCGGCGGGAGAAUUUCCUACAGGUUUCCCAGUCCGCAUCCGAAGGGAAUAGCCGGUCCCGGGAAGUCCCCCGCGGAGCGGGCAGGCUUGCUCCCUCCGCCGCCUCCGACGGGAUCGCUCAGCCCCUAAACACCCGUCAGUUCUCGGGAAAACGCUUGGGGCUGGGGUUCUCUCCCGGUCGGUUUUUCUUCAUUGUCUCCCCUUUCAUUCCCUUACAACCCUUGUUUUCACAAAAACAGCAACAUCCAAAUCAGGAGCGGUCCCCCCGAUAGGCAGCACAGCUCUCAUCCGCAAGUGAGGUGAAGCACCCAAGGUAGCCUCGGGAAGGCGAAAGAAGGAGCGAGAGCCGCGCUCCCCUCAAGCAGAGGCGCUUUCUGCCUCCGCCACAGCGGCAACUUGUUCCCUUCACCAAGGUUUGUAACUGAGUUAGAAGAAAUCCUCCAAAAAUAUCGGGAUCCAGGCUCUGGGAGGAGCCUCCGCGCCCCUUGCAGCCAAUAUCCUCCUGCCCAUUUGUGCCUGACAGUUUGGGAAGGGAGGGAAGGAAAGAGCCGGGCUGCGGAGCCCCGUGCGCUCCCCGGUCAGCGGCGGAGCUGCAGGGCUGGCGGCGCCCGAGGCUGCCAGCAGAGUGCCAGAGCCUCGCCGCUGCUCUGCGCGAUGCCUCGGCUGCCGGGAGGGUCCAUUUUAUUUUGCAGUAUUUCUUGAUUGACGCCUGCGAUUUCCCCCCGUUCUUGAAAAGGGCGGGUGGGUGCGCGGAGGGGGGAGAACCUUGUUGCUUCCACCGCAGUUAUUGGUUAGUUGCCUCUAUUCAGGCUUUAAUGAACGUGAUUUCACAAGUGUUCCCAAUCCUCCCUAAAUAACUAGGAAAGAAGAGCAAGCUGUAUUUAUGACAGUCACUGGCAUUUCUUUUCCAUGUUGUAGUAUUACGUGUAUUAAUUUAACUUGCAGUCAAGGGCAUAAUAAAUUGAUCUCUUAACAAUGAAA